RNAcentral lists this ribosomal RNA (252 nucleotides) under uncultured bacterium. Its description in RNAcentral is "partial 16S ribosomal RNA". It matches the Rfam family "Bacterial small subunit ribosomal RNA", at positions 524 to 776 of the family's 1533-position model. The record is from RNAcentral.
UACGCAGGAUGCGAGCGUUAUCCGGAUUUAUUGGGUUUAAAGGGUGCGUAGGCGGACUGUCAAGUCAGCGGUAAAAUUGAGAGGCUCAACCUCUUCCCGCCGUUGAAACUGGUGGUCUUGAGUGGAUGAGAAGUACGCGGAAUGCGUGGUGUAGCGGUGAAAUGCAUAGAUAUCACGCAGAACUCCGAUUGCGAAGGCAGCGUACCGGCAUCCAACUGACGCUGAGGCACGAAAGCGUGGGGAUCAAACAGG